UACGGAAGCAGCAGUGGGGAAUAUUGCACAAUGGGCGCAAGCCUGAUGCAGCCAUGCCGCGUGUAUGAAGAAGGCCUUCGGGUUGUAAAGUACUUUCAGUCGUGAGGAAGGUGUUAAGGUUAAUAACCUUAGCAAUUGACGUUAGCGACAGAAGAAGCACCGGCUAACUCCGUGCCAGCAGCCGCGGUAAUACGGAGGGUGCGAGCGUUAAUCGGAAUUACUGGGCGUAAAGGGCACGCAGGCGGUUAAUUAAGUUGGAUGUGAAAUCCCCGGGCUUAACCUGGGAAUGGCAUUCAAGACUGGUUAGCUAGAGUCUUGUAGAGGGGGUAGAAUUCCAUGUGUAGCGGUGAAAUGCGUAGAGAUGUGGAGGAAUACCGGUGGCGAAGGCGGCCCCUGGACAAAGACUGACGCUCAUGUGCGAAAGCGUGGGGAGCAAACGAGGGAUUAGAUA
This 451-nucleotide ribosomal RNA is filed under the name uncultured bacterium. RNAcentral describes it as "bacterial SSU rRNA". It matches the Rfam family "Bacterial small subunit ribosomal RNA", at positions 340 to 784 of the family's 1533-position model. The record is from RNAcentral.